Molecule: ribosomal RNA, 467 nt
Filed under: uncultured bacterium
Lineage: Bacteria
Description: partial 16S ribosomal RNA
Rfam family: Bacterial small subunit ribosomal RNA
Source: RNAcentral
ACGAACGCUGGCGGCGUGCUUAACACAUGCAAGUCGAACGGAAAGGCCCUGCUUUUGUGGGGUGCUCGAGUGGCGAACGGGUGAGUAACACGUGAGUAACCUGCCCUUGACUUUGGGAUAACUUCAGGAAACUGGGGCUAAUACCGGAUAGGAGCCCCUGCUGCAUGGUGGGGGUUGGAAAGUUUCGGCGGUUGGGGAUGGACUCGCGGCUUAUCAGCUUGUUGGUGGGGUAGUGGCUUACCAAGGCUUUGACGGGUAGCCGGCCUGAGAGGGUGACCGGCCACAUUGGGACUGAGAUACGGCCCAGACUCCUACGGGAGGCAGCAGUGGGGAAUAUUGCACAAUGGGCGGAAGCCUGAUGCAGCAACGCCGCGUGCGGGAUGACGGCCUUCGGGUUGUAAACCGCUUUCGCCUGUGACGAAGCGUGAGUGACGGUAAUGGGUAAAGAGGCACCGGCUAACUACGUG